AGAGUGUCUUGGUUUACCUGGGGCCUUGGGCCACCCUGGAUAGUCUAUGCUAACGAUGGGAUCUGUGGUGGGGGCCCUGGGCCACAUGGCAUCAGUUUGACUCUGGAGGGGCUGGAGACUGAGUAACUGAGGUCACCAUGUGUGUGACCUUGUCCAUGCCUGUGUGACCAGCCCCAGGAAAAACGCUGGACAUCAAGGCUCAGUGAUGCAGAAAACUGAGGCCCACAUGGAGG
This 233-nucleotide long non-coding RNA is filed under the name Homo sapiens (human). RNAcentral describes it as "HSALNT0261470". The record is from RNAcentral. Lineage: Eukaryota; Metazoa; Chordata; Mammalia; Primates; Hominidae.